GGCAGUGGUGUCAACCCACACAUAGGACUAGUUUGGGAAAAAACGGAGGUGGUUGAAGGGUUAAAAUCUCCUUAUUUAAAAAUAAAGAAGAGAAUUUUAGUGCUGCAUUGCCCUUACACGGUGUCUAACAUCUGCUUGUGGACUUUGACUCGUACUUCAGCGACCCGAGCCCCCGACAAUCCCUCGCCGAAUUCCAGAAUCCAGAGCAAGGGUAUCACCUCGACCUCAGUUACUGAUCGGAGCCGCUCCUGGCGCUUGGUUUCUAUUGGAUGCGGAUCAAUGCAUUUCAACACUGAGAAGAAGCCAACAGUUCAAUGGCAGAGGGUGUUGUUGGCAUCCUUAUUCUGAAGCUUGGUUCAGCCUUGUUUUUAGAGGCUUGCAGGCUUGGCACAAAACAGCUCUACCAUGAAGCUUCAGCCCUUGGCAGGCUCUUUGGUGAGAUCCGUGAUAUCAAGGAGGAAUUGGAGAGCAUGCAAUCUUUUCUACAAGGAGCUGAGAGAUUCAAAGAUACUGACAACAACACUGCCAACUUUAUCAAGAAGAUUCGUGGCCUUGCUUUCGACAUUGAAGAUGUUAUCGAUGAGUUUAUCUACAAGAUGGAGGACAAGCAUGGCAGUUUUGCUACAAAGAUGAAUCGUCGGAUUAAUCGUAUUUGGACAUGGCGACGUCUCACGUCCAAAUUGCAAAAGAUCAAACUGAAACUAGAGAAUGUUGAUAAGAGAAAUGUUCGAUAUGACAUGAGAGGAAUUGCUAGAGAAGAUGGAAGCAGUGAUGCUCAUCAUAGAUCUACCGACCAGAUUUCUUACUUCCCCAAAGAGGAAAAUCUUGUGGGCAUUGAUGAAAACAAGGAGUUAUUGAUGAAUUGGCUAAGGGGUGAUCUACAUCAGCAAAGUGUAAUUACAACAGUAUGGGGGAUGGGGGGAGUUGGCAAGACCACUUUGGUUGCACAUGUUUACAACACUGUGAAGGUAGACUUUGACAGUGCUGCAUGGAUAACUGUUUCAAAAGCUUACCAAGUGGAGGACUUGCUGAAGCAGAUCAUCAGGGGAUUUCAGAAAAGUGAUUUGAAGGGUGAACUUCGUGUUGACAUAAUUGACAUGGAAAAGAGAAGCCUAGUUGAGAUCAUCCGUGAUUAUUUGCAUGGCAAAAGCUAUGUUUUAGUGCUAGAUGACGUCUGGGGUGUUGACAUCUGGUUCAAGAUAAGAGAUGCUUUUCCUACCAAUAGCACUAGCAGGUUUAUUAUUACAUCGAGGAUACAUGAAGUAGCAUUGCUGGCUAAUGGAAAUUGCAUAAUUGAGUUGAAGCCACUAGAGGCACACCAUUCAUGGGAGUUAUUUUGUAAAGAGGCCUUCUGGAAAAAUGAAAACAAAAUGUGCCUGCUGGAACUUAAUAAUUUGGCACAAAGAUUUGUUGACAAGUGUAACGGGCUGCCCAUUGCCAUUGCAUGUGUAGGCCGUCUUUUGUCUUGCAGAAGCCCAACCUACUCUGAUUGGGAAAGCUUUUUCAAGGAACUAGAGUUGCAGAUGACAAAUAAUGUGAUUCUUAAUGUUAAUGUUCUUCUAAAGGUUAGUUUAGAGGAUCUUCCAUAUAUUUUAAAGAACUGCUUUUUGCACUGUACAAUAUUUCCCGAGGAUCAUUUGAUCAAAAGGAAAAGGUUAAUUAGGCACUGGGUAGCAGAGGGAUUCAUCAGAGAAACAGAGCACAAAACAAUGGAGGAAGUGGCAGAGGGCUAUUUGUAUGAACUUGUCAAUCGUAGCCUAUUACAAGUAGUGGAGAGAAAUGAAAGUGGACGAGUGCAGAGUUGCCGAAUGCAUGAUAUUAUUCGACUUCUUGCUCUGACAAAAGCAAAUGAGGAAGGCUUCUGUAAAGUUUAUGAUGGCAUGGGGAGUUAUUCAGCAGAAAAGACACGUCGUUUAUCGAUUCACAGUGCAAAUAUUAAGUUGUCGACUCAACCAACAAAGCUUACAGUCCGCUCAAUAUAUGUUUUUAGUAAUGGUUUGACUAUUGAAUCACUUAGGUCUUUCUUGAAACAUUUCUACUUGCUGUCAACUCUAGAUCUCCAGGGUGCCCAGAUUGUGGAGCUGCCAGAUGAGGUUUUCAACUUGUUUAAUCUACGGUUUCUCAGCCUUCGAAAUACUGAGGUUACGAAUAUCCCCAGCACAGUUGGAAGAUUACAAAAACUUGAAGUCUUGGAUGUUUAUAAUGCUAAACUGUUGGCUUUGCCAGAGAGUGUUUCGAAGCUUAGAAAAUUGAGAUAUCUACAUGUAGCUACUGUUCCAAAGAUAAAUACUAAAGGGGUUGUGACCUGGAUUGGAAUCCAGGUGCCUAAAAGCAUCAAAUACCUGACAGGCUUGCAAACCUUGAGGCUUGUUGAGGCGAGCUCAGAGACUUUAUUUCACCUUGGUGCUUUGACACAGUUGAGAACUUUUGCCAUCACAAAUGUGCAGAGGGAUCAGUGUGCCGAUUUGUGCACUGUUAUAAUGAGCAUGAAGCAUCUUGUUAGCUUAGCAAUUAUGGCUAUAAGUGAGGAGGAAAUACUUCAACUUGAAGAACUUUGUUUACCCCCAACUCUUUCAAAGCUUGAAUUAGGAGGGCAGCUGGACAAGAAAGCAAUGCCCCAGAUUGUAUCAUCCUUUUCAGAUCUUGGUAACCUCACCUUAUUGGCCUUGGCAUUCUCCAAACUUGAUGAGGACUCAUUUUCAUGCCUCUUGACGUUGCAUGGUCUACGUGGGCUUUGGGUUGAUAAGGCUUAUGAAGGGAAGAGGCUUCACUUUAAUGCUAUGUCUUUUCCAAAUCUUCGACAGCUUGCAAUAUCAGAUGCACCGCAGCUCAACAGCGUUGUAAUCGAACGAAGCGCACUGCAAAGCCUUGUUCAGCUGACACUUGUAGAUUGUCCAGAACUGAAGGCCCUGCCUGAUGGCAUUGAGCAUCUUAGAACACUUGAGAAAUUAUAUCUGCGAGGAGCAUCCAAAGAGCUCACAAAGCUAUUUCAGUGCAAUGAAGAAACACAUGAGUCCAAUGGGAAUCUUGAGAAGAUCGGUCAUAUCCGAAGGGUUACUGUUUAUCCAUAAGGGUUUGAUUGGGAGUAAGGGUAAUGGGGAGGAUUGAAGGGGCUAGAAUCUCUCACUAUUCUAUUUUAAAUAGUGAGGAAUUCUAGCCCCCUCGAUCUCCUUCAUUCCAUUUACUCCCAAACGAGCCCUAAAAGGAUGCGAAGACUUGGUGUCAUAAACCCAUACACUUGCGUGCAAGUGUUGGCCUUGUCACCGAUUGCAUACUACUGGCCAACUGGUGUAAUAGCUCAAGACAGUCAAGAGUAAAAUAAAGUUGGUGAAAAUAUAGUUGGGUCUGAACCGCUGAAGACGUGCCUCCAUCUUGUGGUUUCGAUGAUGACGGCAAUGAUGAGUUGCAGGCCACAAUACGUGCUUCGAGAGAGGAGAAAUAACUUAAGAGGGCACGCACGUAUGAGACGAGUGGUGGCUCCUCCUAUGGGGGUGUUCGUGGCCUGUUUGGGAAUUGGGAGAAUAGUCUCUAGGAAGGAGGAGGCCACGCAUGAUACAAUCAAGGAUUGAUAAGAGCCUGUUUUCGAAGACAGGAACGAAUGUGGCCCAUUUCAUUGGUAAGCAAUGGGCUAAUUGGUUCUAUGCUAAUGCGAUUCCGAGGCAUAAA
Molecule: RNA transcript, 3666 nt
Organism: Zea mays
Lineage: Eukaryota; Viridiplantae; Streptophyta; Magnoliopsida; Poales; Poaceae
Gene name: disease resistance protein RPM1
Exons: 3
Source: RefSeq, a predicted model, not a curated record